AGUGUCUUUCGCAUCAUCGUUCCACAAUCGUACUUUUGACUUGGACAAGUGCGCGUGAAGCGAAUGCUUGCACUGCAUCGAUGUGCUUGCUCAGAUUGGACGCACUAGCCUCUAGUGUUGGCGUAUGGGCGUUAUUCGCCAACUGAGCCAUACAACAAGAAGGCUUGGACAAGCAAGCUGGAGAGUGCUCGGAAGAAAAAGCAAAAAGGUAUUGUCGAUGGAAAGUAUUGCAGGUACAAAUCCGUUUAUUUCGAAGGAGAAACAACUGCUUGGUCAUGUGUUUUAUCGUUGAGAAAUGCGAAAUCAUACAAUCAGUAAAACACAUUUUGCGAAACAGUUCUCACGCAUAUAAUCAAAGUUGAACGAUAAUAUCCAUUAAAAUGUGAACUCACAUGAAGAUUAAAAUCUUCUUUAUGUUAAAACGAUUUAUAAUACAUGCGUCUUUGCAGACAAGAUUUGUUUCCUAAACUCUUAGAAAUCUCGCACAUAUUCACGAUCGCGAUUAUCCGACACUUAUUGUACGCUCAGCCGGUAGCUUGUGCAAAAGUAGCUGCACUGCUGUACAUUCAGAAAUUGCUUCUUUAGUAUUCUUAAUAGUCUAGGUAACGGGUACAUGUGCAACAGAGAUAAAGUUAUCUACAGAUGUAGUCACUAGCCAAAGUUGCCAAAGGUAUUCU
This is a long non-coding RNA of Ooceraea biroi (clonal raider ant), 677 nucleotides long. RefSeq lists it as uncharacterized. NCBI's taxonomy places the organism in Eukaryota, Metazoa, Arthropoda, Insecta, Hymenoptera, Formicidae. The record is from RefSeq and is a predicted model, not a curated record.